GCUGCUAUGUGUGUGCAGCCCGUAGGUGGGCUCGAGGCCCCCUCUAUUCCGGCUGGGGCUCGGUCGCGUGUUUGGGAUCUGGAGUGUAGGGGGAAAGGGAAACGGGCACGCGAGCUAGUCUCGAGGUGGUGUUUGGGCAGCGGUACGAGUGGCAGCUAGGGUACCUGCAGCCUACGGGUAGUAGAACUGAGGUACGGGUCCUCCUGGUCACGUAGUGCGACCUGUGGUGGGAGGCUGCCCAAACAGCGGCCUUGCGGAGGUCGGAGCGGUAGCCCCAGAAGAAGUGGUAGCCAGCAGGUCCUAGGGGCGGCAACUGGGUAGCUACGAGCUGGAGAAGGCCGGAGGGGCUGGGCAGGGCUUUGCGGGCUCGUAGCGAAUCUGUUGCUCUGACUGCAGCGACGACGGAGCUAGCUGAUGCCACAACUGCUGGGGAGGAAGAACGGUCUCGUUGGUCCUCGGUCUCCUAGGGCUCCUACCAAGAUGUACCUCAAGCCAAAGCUCCUCAUCAAUCCUCCAGGGUCCGUCCUCCGGAGCGGAAAAGCUAGCAGC
This 549-nucleotide ribosomal RNA is filed under the name Triticum aestivum (bread wheat). RNAcentral's name for it is "partial small subunit ribosomal RNA". The record is from RNAcentral. Lineage: Eukaryota; Viridiplantae; Streptophyta; Magnoliopsida; Poales; Poaceae.